Gigantopelta aegis is the source of this 543-nucleotide long non-coding RNA. RefSeq lists it as uncharacterized. The record is from RefSeq and is a predicted model, not a curated record. The transcript has 3 exons. Lineage: Eukaryota; Metazoa; Mollusca; Gastropoda; Neomphalida; Peltospiridae.
ACUUACGGUGAUCUUAGGGCUAUAUUCCACAAAGUCACAGUUAUAAGGUAGCUAAGCACUUACGGUGAUCUUAGGGCUAUAUUCCAAAAAGUCAUAGUUAUAUGGUAGCUAAUCACUUAAGGUGAUCUUAGGGCUAUAUUCCACAAAGUCAUAGUUAUAUGGUAGCUAAUCACUUAAGGUGAUCUUAGGGCUAUAUUCCACAAAGUCACAGUUAUAAGGUAGCUAAGCACUUAAGGUGAUCUUAGGGCUAUAUUCCACAAAGUCACAGUUAUAAGGUAGCUAAUCACUUAAGGUGAUCUUAGGGCUAUAUUCCACAAAGUCAGAGUUAUAGGGUAGCUAAGCACUUAAGGUGAUCUUAGGGCUAUAUUCCACAAAGUCACAGUUAUAAGGUAGCUAAACACUUAAGGUGAUCUUAGGGCUAUAUUCCACAAAGUCACAGUUAUAAGGUAGCUAAGCACUUAUGGUGAUCUUAGGGCUAUAUUCCACCAAGUCACAGUUAUAAGGUAGCUAAGCACUAACGGUGAUCUUAGGGCUAUAUUCCAC